GCAAAACGCGAAGAACCUUACCUACUCUUGACAUCCAGAGAACUUUCCAGAGAUGGAUUGGUGCCUUCGAGAACUCUGAGACAGGUGCUGCAUGGCUGUCGUCAGCUCGUGUUGUGAAAUGUUGGGUUAAGUCCCGCAACGAGCGCAACCCUUAUCCUUUGUUGCCAGCGGUCCGGCCGGGAACUCAAAGGAGACUGCCAGUGAUAAACUGGAGGAAGGUGGGGAUGACGUCAAGUCAUCAUGGCCCUUACGAGUAGGGCUACACACGUGCUACAAUGGCGCAUACAAAGAGAAGCGACCUCGCGAGAGCAAGCGGACCUCAUAAAGUGCGUCGUAGUCCGGAUUGGAGUCUGCAACUCGACUCCAUGAAGUCGGAAUCGCUAGUAAUCGUAGAUCAGAAUGCUACGGUGAAUACGUUCCCGGGUCUUGUACACACCG
RNAcentral lists this ribosomal RNA (438 nucleotides) under uncultured bacterium. RNAcentral's name for it is "bacterial SSU rRNA". It matches the Rfam family "Bacterial small subunit ribosomal RNA", at positions 954 to 1392 of the family's 1533-position model. The record is from RNAcentral.